This 263-nucleotide unclassified non-coding RNA is filed under the name plant metagenome. Its description in RNAcentral is "partial contains small subunit ribosomal RNA, internal transcribed spacer 1, and 5.8S ribosomal RNA". The record is from RNAcentral.
UUUCCGUAGGUGAACCUGCGGAAGGAUCAUUAUUGUAUAACCGAGGUGCGAGGGCUGUCGCUGACCCGAAAGGUCGUGCACGCCCGAGUGCCCUCACACAAAUCCAUCUCACCCCUAUGUGCACCACCGCGUGGGUCCCCCUUUGGCUUGUUCGGAGGGGGGCUUACGUUUUCACACGAACUUUGUAUGCAGUGUAGAAUGUAGUUUUUGUUUUUGCGAUCACGCAAUCAAUACAACUUUCAACAACGGAUCUCUUGGCUCUC